Molecule: ribosomal RNA, 490 nt
Filed under: uncultured bacterium
Lineage: Bacteria
Description: partial 16S ribosomal RNA
Rfam family: Bacterial small subunit ribosomal RNA
Source: RNAcentral
AGUGAACGCUGGCGGUAGGCCUAACACAUGCAAGUCGAACGGCAGCACAGUAAGAGCUUGCUCUUACGGGUGGCGAGUGGCGGACGGGUGAGGAAUACAUCGGAAUCUACUUUUUCGUGGGGGAUAACGUAGGGAAACUUACGCUAAUACCGCAUACGACCUACGGGUGAAAGCAGGGGAUCUUCGGACCUUGCGCGAUUGAAUGAGCCGAUGUCGGAUUAGCUAGUUGGCGGGGUAAAGGCCCACCAAGGCGACGAUCCGUAGCUGGUCUGAGAGGAUGAUCAGCCACACUGGAACUGAGACACGGUCCAGACUCCUACGGGAGGCAGCAGUGGGGAAUAUGGGACAAGGGGCGCAAGCCUGAUCCAGCCAUACCGCGUGGGUGAAGAAGGCCUUCGGGUUGUAAAGCCCUUUUGUUGGGAAAGAAAAGCAGCAGGUUAAUACCCCGCUGUUCUGACGGUACCCAAAGAAUAAGCACCGGCUAACUUCG